UCUUAGCGCCAGGGAUAGUAGCGGCAUCCUUUUUUAUAUGAUGCGAAUGAAUAUAAAGAAGAUGGUAAUUAAAAAAGAUAAAGCGAAUAGCCCGGUCUCAA
RNAcentral lists this small RNA (101 nucleotides) under Aquimarina brevivitae. RNAcentral describes it as "Flavo-1 RNA". It matches the Rfam family "Flavo-1 RNA". Lineage: Bacteria; Pseudomonadati; Bacteroidota; Flavobacteriia; Flavobacteriales; Flavobacteriaceae. The record is from Rfam by way of RNAcentral.